AUUUCAGGCAUCCAGCAGGAUUGCAGAGCUCUGAAACAGGCCUGCAAAGUCACCCUGAGAGGCGUGUCAAGGUUAUUGAUGGACCUCCUCUAGUUAUGCACCGAGAAAAGCAGCUAAAUCCACAUGGAGACAAUUGUUCCUUGGGAACCAACCAUUACCUAAGGGAUGAUUUUUGAUGCAGGAUUUUCAUUAAAAAGUUUUCCCUCGCAGCGUAAAUCACCUGCAGCUCCAGAGGGGUCCUAAGGCAAAAGCCUUUGUGGGAACUCGGGA
Molecule: long non-coding RNA, 270 nt
Organism: Lepidothrix coronata (blue-crowned manakin)
Lineage: Eukaryota; Metazoa; Chordata; Aves; Passeriformes; Pipridae
Exons: 3
Source: RefSeq, a predicted model, not a curated record